AGAGUUUGAUCCUGGCUCAGGAUGAACGCUGGCGGCGUGCCUAACACAUGCAAGUCGAGGGGCAGCGGGGGCGAAGCUUGCUUCGCCUGCCGGCGACCGGCGCACGGGUGAGUAACACGUAUGCGACCUGCCCCCCGCAGGGGGAUAACCGGGAGAAAUCCCGACUAAUACCGCGUAACGCCGCUGGGCUGCAUGGCCCGGCGGCCAAAGGAAGCGAUUCCGGCGGGGGAUGGGCAUGCGGCGCAUUAGCUAGUCGGCGGGGUAACGGCCCACCGAGGCGACGAUGCGUAGGGGUUCUGAGAGGAAGGUCCCCCACACUGGUACUGAGACACGGACCAGACUCCUACGGGAGGCAGCAGUGAGGAAUAUUGGUCAAUGGGCGGGAGCCUGAACCAGCCAAGUCGCGUGAGGGAAGACGGUCCUACGGAUUGUAAACCUCUUUUGCCGGGGAGCAACGGGGUCCUUGCGAGGGCCCGAUGAGAGUACCCGGAGAAAAAGCAUCGGCUAACUCCGUGCCAGCAGCCGCGGUAAUACGGAGGAUGCGAGCGUUAUCCGGAUUUAUUGGGUUUAAAGGGUGCGUAGGCGGGCUGUUAAGUCAGCGGUCAAAUGUCGGGGCUCAACCCCGGCCUGCCGUUGAAACUGGCGGCCUCGAGUGGGCGAGAAGUAUGCGGAAUGCGUGGUGUAGCGGUGAAAUGCAUAGAUAUCACGCAGAACUCCGAUUGCGAAGGCAGCAUACCGGCGCCCGACUGACGCUGAGGCACGAAAGCGUGGGUAUCGAACAGGAUUAGAUACCCUGGUAGUCCACGCAGUAAACGAUGAAUGCUAGCUGUCCGGUUCUACGGGACUGGGUGGCACAGCGAAAGCGUUAAGCAUUCCACCUGGGGAGUACGCCGGCAACGGUGAAACUCAAAGGAAUUGACGGGGGCCCGCACAAGCGGAGGAACAUGUGGUUUAAUUCGAUGAUACGCGAGGAACCUUACCCGGGCUCAAACGCCAAAGGACAGCCGUUGAAAGGCGGCCUCCCUCCGGGGUCUUUGGCGAGGUGCUGCAUGGUUGUCGUCAGCUCGUGCCGUGAGGUGUCGGCUUAAGUGCCAUAACGAGCGCAACCCCCAUCGACAGUUGCUAACGGGUAGAGCCGAGGACUCUGUCGAGACUGCCGGCGCAAGCUGCGAGGAAGGCGGGGAUGACGUCAAAUCAGCACGGCCCUUACGUCCGGGGCGACACACGUGUUACAAUGGCCGGUACAGCGGGAUGCCAGGGCGCGAGCCCGAGCGGAACCCGAAAACCGGUCUCAGUUCGGAUUGGAGUCUGCAACCCGACUCCAUGAAGCUGGAUUCGCUAGUAAUCGCGCAUCAGCCACGGCGCGGUGAAUACGUUCCCGGGCCUUGCACACACCGCCCGUCAAG
This 1406-nucleotide ribosomal RNA is filed under the name uncultured bacterium. Its description in RNAcentral is "bacterial SSU rRNA". It matches the Rfam family "Bacterial small subunit ribosomal RNA". The record is from RNAcentral.